GUGUCAGCCGCCGCGGUAAUACGGGUGAGGCAAGCGUUGUUCGGAAUCAUUGGGCUUAAAGCGCGUGUAGGCGGCGGCGUAAGUACUUUGUGAAAUCCCUUCUCUCAAUGGAGGAAUUGCUUGGUAUACUGCGUUGCUUGAGGUAGGUAGGGGUGCUUGGAACUCUAGGUGGAGCGGUGAAAUGCGUAGAUAUCUAGAGGAACGCCAGUGGCGAAAGCGGAGCACUGGGCCUAUCCUGACGCUGAGACGCGAAAGCGUGGGUAGCAAACGGGAUUAGAAACCCCAGUAGUCC
RNAcentral lists this ribosomal RNA (292 nucleotides) under uncultured bacterium. RNAcentral describes it as "partial 16S ribosomal RNA". It matches the Rfam family "Bacterial small subunit ribosomal RNA", at positions 505 to 796 of the family's 1533-position model. The record is from RNAcentral.